GGGUGAACCAGUCUGUUGCUGAAGGAGCUUCUUAAGGAGUUCACAGUCUGAUGCAGAGGCUGGGAGGAGUUUCUGAUGAUGGAAGACAGUUUAUCCAGAGCCCUCCUCUCUCCCACCACCUCCAUGGAGUCCAGGGAUCAGCCACAGACUGAGCUGCUCUUUUUAUCAGUCUGUUUAGUCUGUUCUUAUCACGCUCAGAGCAUCCUCCUCCCCAGCACACCACUGCAUAGAAGACCAUGGAUGCCACCACAGUGUCAUAAAAGGUCCUCAGCAGUGUCCUGCUCACACCAAAUGAUGGGAGUCUCCUCAGCAGGUAUAGAUGACACUGACCCUUCUUAUACAGAGAGUCAGUGUUAUCUGUCCAGUCCAGUUUGUUAUUUAGGUGAACACCCAGGUACUUGUAGGUCCUCACUCUCUCCAUGUCAAGUCCCUGGAUGUUCAGUGGUGGAGUGUAUGAGGGUUUCCUGUGGAAAUCAAUCACCAUCUCCUUUGUCUUGCUGGCGUUCAUUUGGAGGUGGUUCUGCUGACAACAGUAGACAAAGUCCAUGAUGACCUUCCUGUACUCACAGUCAUUCCCCUCUGACACGCAUCCUAUGAUGGCAGCAUCAUCGGAGAACUUCUGGAGAUGACACAACUGUCUGUGGAGUAGCAGAAGUCUGAUGUAUAGAGGGUGAAGAGGAAAGGUGAGAGUACUGUAUCCUGGGGGGCUCCUAGACCACCACAUCAGACACAGUCCUGUAGCCUCACAUACUGAGGUCUGUCUGUGAGGUAGUCCAUGGUCCAUGCAGCCAACUGGUCACUGACCCCCACUCUCUCCAUCUUCACCUUCAGCAGUGAGGGUUGGAUUGUAUUGAAGGCACUGGAGAAGUCGAAGAACGUGAUCCUCACGGUGUUUCUAGUGUCCUCCAGGUGAGACAGAGAUCUCUGCAGCAGGUAGAGGACGGCGUCAUCCGUCCCAAUCCCAGGCUGGUACACAAACUGCAGGGGAUCCAUGUUUGGACUCACCAGGGGGCGAAGAUGGUUCAAGACGAUCCUCUCAGGUGCCUUCAUCAGGUGAGAAGUUAAGGCCACGGGUCUGUAGUGGUUGGGCUCCUUGGGGCACGAGGUCUUUGGGACUGGGAC
Long non-coding RNA from Amphiprion ocellaris (clown anemonefish), 1122 nucleotides. Lineage: Eukaryota; Metazoa; Chordata; Actinopteri; Pomacentridae. The record is from Ensembl.